GUCAACGGCCAUACCACGCAGAAAAAACCUGGUCUCGUCAGCUCCCAGAAGUUAAGCUGCGUCGGGUCCCGUUAGUACCUAGAAGGGUGACCGCUUGGGUAAUACGGGAUGCUGUUGGCA
Ribosomal RNA from Daphnia magna, 120 nucleotides. NCBI's taxonomy places the organism in Eukaryota, Metazoa, Arthropoda, Branchiopoda, Diplostraca, Daphniidae. The record is from Rfam.